GUGCCUUGAAAGCACCCUCAAUGGGGGUCCCUCCUACAGUCCAGUGCCUGUAAUCAUAGCUCCAUGCAUGUCUCCCAGAGCAUAUCUGUCCCCAGUCCCUAAGGUCAACAGUCACCUUGAUUCCCACCUGAUCAGUGGCCUUUUAGUAAUAGCAACUGAGGUCAGGGUUCCUAGGUCACUGCUCCUGGCCAGUGUGACCUCACCUUCAGAGUCAGAUUUUGGUGACUGCUCUGCUCUGGUGCCCAGGGCUCUGCAUGGUCCACUCUUCAUUGCUCCAGGCUGCUGCCUGGAAACCACAUGCAUUGUAGCCAUAUCCUGGGUGGUGGGUGUGUCCCAGUGGAUCCCAUCCUUGCUUGAGCAUCUGCCUUUCCUGUUCUUCUUUUCCGCACCAGACUUCCUCUAGUCACCUUCAAAAAGUCAGCUCAUGGGUUGCCUCCUACAGGACACAUGCCCUUCUUCACCGGCAGCACUGGGCCAGCCCACUUGCUUCUGCAGUUAUCUGGGUGCAGGCUACAAUCUUCCCCCUAGUUUCAAGCACCUAAGGGCAAGGACAACAUCUUAGUUGGUUUUUUCCUUUCCAUGACUCAUUUGAGGCUCAAUAAAAACAGAACCAUUCCCUUUCUGAUUUUCUUCUUCUUCUGUCCUCAGGUGCAGAAAUUGGUUCUGUCUCCAGGGUAGAGAAUUUCCAGACUUAAGUACUUAUCUCAUUUUGUGAGAAGAUUACUACUUUCCCAAGCCUUUCUAUUGAAUAUCAUUUGCCCUCUUAAUGUUAA
This 773-nucleotide long non-coding RNA is filed under the name Marmota monax (woodchuck). Lineage: Eukaryota; Metazoa; Chordata; Mammalia; Rodentia; Sciuridae. The record is from RNAcentral.